AGAGUUUGAUCCUGGCUCAGAACGAACGCUGGCGGCGUGCUUAACACAUGCAAGUCGAACGCGAACGAGUUCUUCGGAACUUUAGUAGAGUGGCGCACGGGUGAGUAACGCGUAAGUAAUCUACCCUCGCAUUUGGGAUAACCCACCGAAAGGUGUGCUAAUACCGGAUACGUCUAUUUUAAUAUCUUUUUUAUAGAGAAAGGUGGCCUCUGAUUCAAGCUACUGUGCGGGGAGGAGCUUGCGUACCAUUAGCUAGUUGGUAGGGUAAUGGCCUACCAAGGCAACGAUGGUUAGCGGGUCUGAGAGGAUGAUCCGCCACACUGGAACUGAAACACGGACCAGACUCCUACGGGAGGCAGCAGUGAGGAAUAUUGCGCAAUGGGGGCAACCCUGACGCAGCGACGCCGCGUGGAUGAUGAAGGCCUUCGGGUUGUAAAAUCCUGUCAGAUGGGAAGAAGUGUAAUAUGGUUAAUAUCUGUAUUAUUUGACGGUACCAUCAAAGGAAGCACCGGCUGACUCCGUGCCAGCAGCCGCGGUAAUACGGAGGGUGCAAGCGUUGUUCGGAAUUACUGGGCGUAAAGCGCGCGUAGGCGGUUGUAUAAGUCAGAUGUGAAAGUCCAUGGCUCAACCAUGGAAGUGCAUUUGAAACUGUAUAACUUGAGUACUGGAGGGGGUGGUGGAAUUCCCGGUGUAGAGGUGAAAUUCGUAGAUAUCGGGAGGAAUACCGGCGGCGAAGGCGACCACCUGGCCAGAUACUGACGCUGAGGUGCGAAAGCGUGGGGAGCAAACAGGAUUAGAUACCCUGGUAGUCCACGCCGUAAACGAUGUGAACUAGGUGUUGGGAUGGUUAAUCGUCUCAUUGCCGGAGCUAACGCAUUAAGUUCACCGCCUGGGGAGUAC
RNAcentral lists this ribosomal RNA (900 nucleotides) under uncultured delta proteobacterium. RNAcentral describes it as "bacterial SSU rRNA". It matches the Rfam family "Bacterial small subunit ribosomal RNA", at positions 8 to 883 of the family's 1533-position model. Lineage: Bacteria; Deltaproteobacteria. The record is from RNAcentral.